GAUGAACGCUGGCGGCGUGCCUAAUACAUGCAAGUCGAGCGAACAGACGAGGAGCUUGCUCCUCUGACGUUAGCGGCGGACGGGUGAGUAACACGUGGAUAACCUACCUAUAAGACUGGGAUAACUUCGGGAAACCGGAGCUAAUACCGGAUAAUAUAUUGAACCGCAUGGUUCAAUAGUGAAAGACGGUUUUGCUGUCACUUAUAGAUGGAUCCGCGCCGCAUUAGCUAGUUGGUAAGGUAACGGCUUACCAAGGCAACGAUGCGUAGCCGACCUGAGAGGCUGAUCGGCCACACUGGAACUGAGACACGGUCCAGACGCCUACGGGAGGCAGCAGUAGGGAAUCUUACGCAAUGGGCGAGAGCCUGACGGAGCAACGCCGCGUGAGUGAUGAAGGUCUUCGGAUCGUAAAACUCUGUUAUUAGGGAAGAACAACUGUGUAAGUAACUAUGCACGUCUUGACGGUACCUGAUCAGAAAGCCACGGCUAACUACGUG
This 497-nucleotide ribosomal RNA is filed under the name uncultured bacterium. RNAcentral describes it as "partial 16S ribosomal RNA". It matches the Rfam family "Bacterial small subunit ribosomal RNA", at positions 28 to 507 of the family's 1533-position model. The record is from RNAcentral.